This is a non-coding RNA of Peromyscus maniculatus bairdii (prairie deer mouse), 1598 nucleotides long. The record is from RefSeq and is a predicted model, not a curated record. NCBI's taxonomy places the organism in Eukaryota, Metazoa, Chordata, Mammalia, Rodentia, Cricetidae.
UCCCCGCUAUCCAUCGCUCUGCCGUUUGGAGAGCAUCUUUUAGCUUAUGCUCAGUUCCUUACAUGCCCUACCCUCUCCGUACUGUCAUUUUCUAUAUCUCACUUGCUCUUUCUUGAACUUCCUCUUGUGAAGACCACCUUGUUGCCAAGUGGUUACCUUCCUCUACCCAUAAUAUUGUGGCAGUUGGUAUUAUUAAUUACUCUUUCUCAAGAGUCUCUUUCCAUGAUUUGCACAUUCGGCUCUCAUGUAAAGGGUUUUUUUUUUUGUUUUGUUUUUUUUUGAGAUGGAGUCUCACUAUAUAACCUAGAAUGGCUCUGAACUCUCAGUCCUCCUACUUCUGCAUCCCCAGUGCUUGAACUACAGACCUGAACCACCAUGCCCAACCUCUAAUGUCAUGCUGUCCUCACUUCUUACAAUUUAGUGAACUCCUAGGGUUCAUUACUACAGGUGAAAAUAGGCAUGUCAACGUGUGACACAUGUUUAGAGACCAACGCACUGUGAUGGGCUUGGUCCUCAGUCAGGGAGUCAGGGAGGACGUCACUGAGAAAGCGACCCCGGAGCCGGGGCCAUCAAUGCCAAGACCCAGGGAAGAGAACUCUGGUUAAAAGGGAACAGCAAAGGCAGGAUCCUGGUUGAGGAAAAGCGCCCCUGGGGUGGGGGCUGCAGGAGGGGAGAGAGUCAGGCAGGCUCUGACCGCCACUGAUGGGCUUCACAGGUCAGAACAAGGAGCCUGCCUCUUAGCCAAUCACUGAGAACAUUAUGGGAGGGAACUGGGAAACAUUCAACUCACUGCAGUAUAAUUCACAUACAUUAAUCCUCACCCAUUUGAGAGUGUACUUUAACCCAUGCAGCUGUCACAAUAAAUAGGAUUAAAGGGCUUUUCUCACCUCGAGGUCCCUGUUACCCCUUCCCAGUCUUAGCAUUUUAUGAUCCAGCCUAAUGUUUUUGAGCAUAGCUCCAAUGGGCUAAGGGUCAUCUCCGCAUACGCUAUCCAGUUGUCUUAGCACCCAGCUGUAGGAAAGACUGGUCUUUUCUCCAGUGGACUACCUUGUCUUCCUGUCAAAGGCCAUCAUAUACAGGACCAUCGGCCUCACUCACCUGCAGAGUCUGCCAUGCCUCUGACACACGGGAUGCUAAGCCUAUUUGUCUGCUGAGGGAAUGAAUGGAGACCUCUCCAAGGGCAGGGAUGUCGGCACCAGUUUCAAACACAGUCGACCCCCAGAGUAUUAUUGCUGGCACCUUUCCAUCCAUGGGGACAAGUCACUUGUUUAGUUACACAAUGGGGUUUUGUCACAACAUCUACGAGUCACCACUGUUUUCACUGGCGCCCAGGUGAUGCCCUGAGCAGAAGAGAUGCCUUCCAGUGGAAGCCACAUUCCUGACAAGUUUGCACGGAUCCACAAAGGAGGGGAAUGGGAAGGCAGGCUUGUCCAGAUGCUGAGGGCGGUGGUAUGGAAUGCUGAAGACAUGAGCACUCUCCUUGUUUACAAAGGUCACCCCAAUCAGGACUCAGUGGCUGCUGAUGCAGCAGUUGCUAAGAGAGAAGAAAGAGUCAGGGCCUGAACAGAAAGCAACAGGGAAAGAAAAGGAGUGUAUGG